Molecule: transfer RNA, 72 nt
Filed under: Pseudocercospora fijiensis CIRAD86
Lineage: Eukaryota; Fungi; Ascomycota; Dothideomycetes; Mycosphaerellales; Mycosphaerellaceae
Description: tRNA-Asp
Rfam family: tRNA (bases 5-67)
About the family: Transfer RNA (tRNA) molecules are approximately 80 nucleotides in length. Their secondary structure includes four short double-helical elements and three loops (D, anti-codon, and T loops). Further hydrogen bonds mediate the characteristic L-shaped molecular structure. tRNAs have two regions of fundamental functional importance: the anti-codon, which is responsible for specific mRNA codon recognition, and the 3' end, to which the tRNAs corresponding amino acid is attached (by aminoacyl-tRNA synthetases). tRNAs cope with the degeneracy of the genetic code in two manners: having more than one tRNA (with a specific anti-codon) for a particular amino acid; and 'wobble' base-pairing, i.e. permitting non-standard base-pairing at the 3rd anti-codon position.
Source: RNAcentral
AAAGCAUUAGUCUAGUGGUUAUGAUAGCCGCUUGUCACGCGGCUGGCCGGGGUUCGAUUCCCCGAUGGGAAG